Molecule: long non-coding RNA, 12347 nt
Filed under: Lactuca sativa (garden lettuce)
Lineage: Eukaryota; Viridiplantae; Streptophyta; Magnoliopsida; Asterales; Asteraceae
Description: long non-coding RNA (LSAT_LNC001005)
Source: RNAcentral
AAAUUAGGCAGAAAGAUAAAAGUUUCUCAAAUCUGAAAAGAUGGGAGAGUACUUUAUUAUCAUGUUUUGUGAUCAUCUUAAUGAUUAAGAAAGCAUAUCACAAUUGGUCCUAUAAUGUCACACCCCAAAACCAAGAACGGCGGAAACGUUCUGGGGCGGAGGACGUCAUGUAUAGUAUCACAACACAGUAAAUGUAAAUAAGCAAACAACAUCAUCCAUUGCAUUAAAUAUAUAAUUUUAAUACAAGUGUGUUCUGUACAGUUAUAGACACCAAAAAUAACGAAACACAAAAUAAUAUGAGAUGAGUCUUGAAUGCACUCCAUCUUCUCAAAAGCUGGCCUCGGUACCUGUCUACUGAUGACCUGAGAAUACAAGUUAUUUUGAAAGAGUUUAUCAGCAUUAAGCUGGUGAGUUCAUAAGUAUUUUAGUGUCAAUGUUCAUUGUCAAAAACGUUUGAACUUGUCCCAAUGUAUAAGUUUGUAAAAAUGUAAAUAAAUGUUUAAAAGUAUUUGCAAAAGUUUGAAUCUCUCAGAAAAUCCUAUAUUUUCUAUAAUAGUAACCUUCUACCAAGGCUUAACUGUUUUGUAAACUCGUCUGUUGUAAAAGUGUGUGAUUACCCAAGUAUAACUAUCAUUUGAUAAAAUAUAGUUUGUACAUUAAUGCUUAAGUGAGAUUAUCACCAAAAUAUGUAAUGGGUAAAUCAUUGUAGUACUGUAGUUUUGUAUAAUAAGAACUACUGUUGUACUAAUUACUACUACCUUAAACCGGAUUUAUAUUAAGGUAUAAUGUGAUAAUUGCACCAUACUAUCGACUGAUAACAACGACAUAAAGAACGGUCGUAAUAACGGAAUGACGUUUGGCACCCGCAGACCUGCAGGUCCGGCUGUAGCUAGCAGCAAGGUGUAGGAUAGUCAAUCCAGUAUAGAUCUAUACGCAAACUCAACGCUCUCCCUCCAAGAGAAUUCUGGCUACAACUCGGGCCAUGACAUUUAAGGCAUGCUCCGAUACAGUGGAUCACAUUUGUUAUCGUAUUCUUGCAUGUGUGAUGAAAUGUUUCUUGUUCUAGUAUAGUUGUAUAUGUUCUCGUAGUAUAGUUGUAUAUAUUCUCUUCCUAGUAUAGACUCAUGAAUGAACUGACUCAUUGAUCUAGCAGUUGUAAUAGUAUGAUUCUGUGUUACCCCGAUGGUAACUUGUUAACAGUGCGUUUAGUACGUAUGAUUAUGGAAGUACUUUUAUGUCUAUAUAUGUAUAUUUGAUAUAUAAUUAAUAUGGAAACGACCUUCGGAUGGUCACCCAAAAUCCUAUCAGACCACAUCCAAAUCGAGGAAAAGGAAACAAGGUGGAUAGCCUUCCUAAGUCCUUUAAACAUUAUUUAUACGUCUAUACAUAUAUGGGCAUGCAAUUUGUAAUAUAAAAGCAUAAAUAAGUAUUUAUAAGGCAUUUGAAACAUAAGUAUUAUUUUUAAAGAAAGAUUGACUUGAUGUCAAUCUAUAAAACCAUUUGAAGGUGUAGAUUUGAUUAAAACAGUUUAAGUAUAAGGAACAUUUGCUUAAAUCACAGUUGCAGUGUAAAUUCGAAAAGUAAAUGGGUUUGGAAAACAUUUAGAAGUAAAACAGUUUGAUAGAUAGUUUGAAUAGUGAUAAAACCACUGAUUUCCCUAGUUAUUAAUCACAUGUGAUUAGUACAAUCACAUGUGAUUGAAACAAUAACUAUAAGUAUUUAACUUGUACUCCCCCCCUUUUGAAAGCAUAUAAAAGCAUUUAGAAUAUUUAACAGGUUGAUUAAGGGGUAUGAAACUCACUUGAUUGAUUGAAGAAAGCGAGAUGGAAAACCGGGCAGAGUUUCGUCUCGGAAAACGGAUUUUUCUCGGGAUUCUCGGGAAUCUCGGGAGUAAAAUCGACCCUCGGGACUUGAGCAAAAAGACCAGAGCUUCGGGUUAUAACGGGCACGGAAAACGAGACAAAGUUGUGAGAGAGAGGAGAGAAAUGAGCAACAUUUUCGGAAAGCCUCGCAUCCUAUUUAUAGGAAGGCUGAACCGCCUCCGAACGCGGGGCGUACGCUCGUACGCAGCGCGUACGCGUACGUCAUGCAUGACCGAAGCCUCGACUGCCUCGGUUCGGAUGGGACGGGUUGCUGGGUACGCGGGUCGGAUGGGACGGCGGGUCGGACGGGACAGCGGGUCGGACGGGUCGGAGCUUCGGACGGGUCGGACGGGUUAGAACUCUUCGGAUAGUGCGACGUGGACGAUCCGAGACCCUCGAUCUCAGUACGCGGGGCGUACGAAGGUACGCAGGGCGUACUUCGGUCCAAUCCGAUGACUCCCCUUCGGAUAUUACCGGGAAUUUAUAAUUAAAUUUAUAUUUAUUUUAAAUAAACUUCAAAAAUUCAUAUCUCCCUCAUACGAACUCCGUUUUUGACGUUCUUUAUAUCCACGCGAAGGUGAGACCAUGAUCUACAACUUUCGUUUAGAUUCCGUUGGCAAAUUCCGAAAUUAUUUUUAUUAUUUAUUUAUUAAAAUGACGUGAUUAAGGAAUUUCUUCAAAAUUUCAUAACUUCCUCAUCCGAAGUCAGAUUUGGACGUUCUUUUUAUGUACGCAAACCUUGAUAUGAUUCCUAUUACUUUAUUUAAUCCGAAUAAGAUUUUAGGAAGGUUACAUUUUGACCUAAAUUUGAUCGGUUUUACAUUACAUUGACUCGAAAUAUCGGGUUGUCACAUCAUCCCCCCGUUAGAAGGAAUUUCGUCCCGAAAUUAGAAUUUUAAGCAAGUUAGAAAUUACAAAUAACUAAGCAAAAAGGUGAGGGUAUUUCAGUUUCAUCUGAUCCUCACGUUCCCAAGUGAAUUCCGGUCCUCGCUUGGCAUUCCAGCGAACCUUCACGAUAGGGAUACGGCUUUGCUUUGUCUGCUUGACCUCACGGUCCAUGAUCUCUAUAGGUUCUUCCACGAAGUUGAGGCUCUCGUUGAUUUCGAUCUCGUCGAGUGGGAUUACAAGAGUCUCGUCGGAUAGACACUUUUUCAAGUUAGAUACGUGGAAUGUAGAAUGUACGUUACGAAGUGCGUCUGGUAGUUCGAGUUUGUAAGCUACGGGGCCGACUCUUGCAAGAAUCUCGAAAGGCCCUAUGUACCUCGGAUUAAGCUUUCCACGCUUGCCGAAGCGUAUCAAGCCCUUCCAGGGUGAGACUUUGAGGAGGACUCGGUCUCCCACCUGAAAUUCCAAAGGUUUCCUUCGUUUAUCAGCGUAGCUCUUCUGUCGGUCUCUAGAGGCUUUCAAUCGUUCACGGAUCUGAACGAUUUUCUCUGUUGUUUCCCGAAUGAUCUCCGGACCGGUGAGAGUACUGUCGGAAGUUUGCCCCCUGGCUAAUUGGGUAUCACCCACCUCAGCCCAGCACAGAGGGGAUCUGCACUUACGGCCGUAGAGAGCUUCAAAUGGAGCAGCCUUGAUGCUCGUGUGAUAACUGUUAUUAUAGGAAAACUCGACAAGGGGUAAAUGAGUAUCCCAUGCCUUCCCAAAGUCAAUCACGCAGGCUCGCAACAUAUCUUCUAGAGUUUGGAUGGUCCUCUCACUCUGUCCGUCGGUCUGAGGAUGGUAGGCUGUGCUCAUGUCCAGCCUCGUUCCUAGGGAAUGUUGUAGUGAUUGCCAAAAUCUUGAGGUGAACCUACUAUCUCUAUCGGAGAUAAUGGACAUAGGUACACCAUGUAGCCGUACGAUUUCCCUAAUGUAUGUUCUCGUAAGCUUCUCCAUCUUGUCGGUUUCUUUGAUAGGCAGGAAGUGUGCAGACUUGGUCAAUCUAUCAACGAUGACCCAUAUGGUGUCAAGUCCACCCGUUGUCUUGGGCAACUUGGUUAUGAAAUCCAUAGUGAUCCGCUCCCACUUCCAUUCCGGGAUCUCUGGUUGCUGCAAUAAACCAGAGGGCUUCUGGUACUCGACCUUAACCUUUGCGCAAGUAAGGCAUUUACUUACGAAGGUAGCAAUCUCUGCUUUCAUAUUAGGCCACCAGUAUAGCUUCUUAAGAUCCAGAUACAUCUUAUCUGAACCUGGGUGGACGGAAUACCGAGUGUUGUGCGCCUCGGUCAUGACCAAGUCUCGGAAGCCACCAUGUUUCGGUGUCCAGAUCCGGUUCAUGAAAUAUAAAGCUCCGUCACCCUUGGCUUCUAAAUUCUUGUCCAUUCCUCUAAGGGAUUCACUUGACACAUUUUCAGAUUUCAUGGCCUCAAGUUGAGCCGCCUGAAUUUGCUUAGUCAGGUGUGAAUGGAUGGUUAUCGAUAAUGACUUGACUUUGCGACCAGAAUAUUCCUUCCGACUUAGGGCGUCUGCUACUACGUUGGCUUUACCCGGAUGAUAACGAAUAUCGCAUUCGUAAUCACUGAGUAGCUCGACCCAUCGUCGUUGUCUCAUGUUGAGCUCCUUCUGAUCGAAAAUGUGUUGUAAACUCUUGUGGUCGGUAAAGAUAGUGCUCUUCGUUCCAUACAAGUAAUGUCUCCAGAUCUUCAGAGCAAACACUACUGCUCCUAGUUCAAGAUCGUGGGUCGUGUAGUUAACCUCGUGUGUCUUCAACUGUCUCGAGGCGUAGGCGAUGACCUUACCUCGCUGCAUCAGAACACAUCCGAGUCCUUGAUUUGAUGCAUCGCAAUAGACUACGAAGUCUUCUAUUCCUUCUGGAAGGGAUAGUAUUGGUGCGGUGCACAAGGCUCGUUUGAGCGUUUGGAACGCUCUUUCUUGCUUCUCUUCCCAGUCAAAGGCCACGCCUUUCUGGGUCAGGGUUGUAAGAGGCUUCGCUAUUCGUGAGAAGUUCUGAAUGAACCUGCGGUAGUAGCCAGCGAGACCUAGAAAUUGACGAAUUUCUGUAGGAGUCUUCGGUGCUGACCAGUUCUCAAUGGCCUUAAUUUUGGAUGGGUCCACGUGGAUUCCCUCUUCGCUUACCACGUGUCCUAAGAAUUCGACUCUUCGGAUCCAAAAUUCACAUUUCGAGAACUUCGCAUAAAGUUUCUCCUUUCGUAAUGUCUCUAGAACUUGUCGCAGAUGAUCACCAUGCUCUUUCUUACUUCGGGAGUAGAUCAGGAUGUCGUCAAUGAAAACGAUGACGAACUGAUCUAAGUAAGGUCGGCAUACUCUAUUCAUCAGAUCCAUGAAGACUGCGGGCGCAUUGGUCAAUCCGAAUGGCAUCACCACGAACUCGUAGUGUCCGUAACGAGUUCGGAAGGCUGUCUUCGGCACAUCCUCCUCGAGCACUCGUAACUGGUGAUAUCCGGAUCUCAGAUCAAUCUUGGAAAAAUAGUUCGCCCCUUGCAGUUGGUCGAAUAGAUCAUCUAUGCGUGGCAGAGGGUAACGAUUUUUGAUCGUCAAUUUGUUGAGUUCUCUGUAGUCAAUACACAUACGGAAUGAUCCGUCUUUCUUCUUAACGAACAAGACCGGUGCUCCCCAAGGUGAGAAACUUGGUCUUAUAAAGCCCUUGCUGAGCAGUUCGUUAAGUUGACCAGAGAGUUCUUGCAUCUCGGCUGGUGCUAAACGGUAGGGCGACUUGGCUACUGGGGUAGCUCCUGGGACUAAGUCUAUUCUGAACUCGACUUGUCGUUGCGGAGGUAACCCGGGUAGUUCUUCUGGGAAAAUGUCGGGGAAGUCGCUCACUACUGGGAGGUUCUUUAGUUCUUUCGUUUCUAGGUUCGUGUCGACGACGUGAGCAAGGAAUGCGUGGUAUUCUUUGCGCAGAUAUUUCUGUGCUUGAAUACUAGAUAUAAUGCGAAGACUCGCACCAGGUUUGUCGCCGUAGACUAUAAGAGUUUCGUUAGACGGGAGGUUUAGUCGGACUGCUUUCUCGUAGCACAUGAUGUCGGCGCGAUGAAGACUUAACCAAUCCAUGCCGAUAAUAACGUCGAAACUUUUUAUUGAGACCGGCAUAAGGUCGAUUGGGAAUGAAUGGUUAUCUAAGGUUAGAAGACAACCUAAGUAUAUGCUAUUAGUACUUUCAGUUUUCCCAUUGGCCAUUUCUACUGUGAAUUGUUCAUUAAGUGCGUGUGGUUGUUGCUUAAGCAUGCGAGCAAAUUUGUGGUUUACGAAGCUUCGCUCCGCUCCACUAUCGAACAGAAUGCAUGCAUAGGAGUUAUCAAGGAGGAACGUACCAGUCACCACUGUCGGGUCAGCAACUGCUUCCCCGUGGCCUAUUGCUAGUACCCUCCCUGCUCCUCCAGUAUUCCUCGCCUUAGGGCAGUCCCUUUUAAAGUGGCCUGUUUCGCCACAUCCAUAGCAAGUUGGGCUCACGCCAGAGCCAGGAACUUGGGAGAUCGGUUGCGCCGGGAACCUACAGAAUCGGACGGUGUGUCCUUUCCUGUGGCAGUUAGCACACUGCAUUUCACGGCAGGCGCCGUUGUGGUGGAAGUUGCAUUUGUUGCACUUCGGCAAACUUCCAGAAUACUGCUUCCCCGGAGCAGUAACAGCAGUAGGGGCUACCGCAGCAUGUACUGCUACGAUUUGCUGUUUCUUUGAAGCACGCUGCUUCUUCUUCUCAUCCCAGAACUUCCGCUUGUUGCCAGCGGGUUUAGAGGGUUCUGGGAUGGCUAGGGUGGUUGUGGUUGCAGGGGUCUUGACUCCAUGGUCAAUGAGUCUUUGUGCCAAUCGCUUGGCACUGUCGAAGGUAGCAGGGUUGGAUGCUAAGACAUUCCCCUGGUACGGAGGCACUAGCCCCCAUACAUACCGCUCAAUCUUUUUCCCUUCAGUGGGAACCAUGUUGGGGCAUAGGGCCACCAGUUCGCUAAAGCGGGCAGUGUAAGCGAUCACGUUGGUGCCCUUCAUUGUCAGAUUCCAGAGUUCAUGUUCCAACUUCUGGACUUCGCCCCUCGGGCAGUAUUCCUCAGUCAUGAGGUCCUUCAUCGUUGCCCAGCCCAUGUCGUUAGCCACGACGAGAGUUAGGGCUUUGACGUGGCCGUUCCACCACGUUAGGGCUUUAUCCUCGAAGGUGCACGCGGCAUAUUUCACUUUAAAUGCAGCAGGGCACGAACAGAUUUCGAAGACUGAUUCAGUCUUCUCGAACCAUUGCGAGAGAGCAAUGACUCCGCCGGUGCCAUAGAAAGGCUUCGGCUUGCAGUUUGUAAAAUCCUUGUAAGAGCACUCUCUCGAGCGCACAGGGAUUUCAACUGGGAUAGAUUCAACAGGGGUUCCACCUCUGCUAGCAUCCGAUGAGUGAUACUGAGCCAUGGCAGUUGCCACUGCUGCAGCUACGACAGCAUUCAGGGCUGCAGUAUCGAUGACCGGAGGCGGUGGAGGUGCAGGAUUAUUCCUAUUCCUGGGAGAUUUGCGAGGAGGCAUCUUUCGGCUAUAAGUUUAUAAAGAUAAGAAAGAUGGUAAGAAUCAAUUUGUAAGCAACGUGAGAGUGACCCAUGGACUAACUAACCAUAGCCCAACAGUUUGAAUGAGUGUUUGAAAUCACAAUAAGAAAUAUUAGUAGGAAUACACAAGUGUACAAAUUUUUCCCACAGAUUAGAUAGAUUUCAAUAGUACGGGUAUUACUGAUGUAAUAAGUUCAAGGAAAAUCGACCUAACAGUAGGUCUUACAUCAUACCAUAAGGACAAUACUGACAGUCCUAGAUUCCUAAUUAGAGUACCGAAAGUUAGGAAUAUUUUACAGACAAGUGCUACUUAGAGCACAUAAGUUCAAGGCUAUCCCUAAAUCAAAAGACAGAGAUGUACUAGACAUCAUCUAAUGGCGAUGGGAAUUCCUCGGGCGAUCCCUGAGGUCGGACACUUGGCGAAACACCUCUUGAAGGUGUCGGUCCUGAGCUCUCUGACGAGCUCGAAGUUCUAAGACUUCAGCACGGGAGGCAGCCAGCUGUUGCUGCAGAGUUUCGUUGGUUCUCCGGGUCCGUUCCAUGUCUUCUUCGAGACGGCGAAUGCGGACUGUAUUGACACCUGAAUUGGCAUCAAUCUCCAUGACCCGGUCGAUGGCUGCUCGACCUUGCUCGACAUUACGAGCUAUUCUGCGGAUGAUCACCGGCAGAGCUCUGUCAGCAGAGCCACCAUCGCUGAUGUUGUAAAAGGUUCGGUCCCCAAAGUAUGGUAAGGGCUGACCCUGCUCAUCACUCCAGCGAUUCAGAUUGUUUGCCCACAUGGGAGUAGGACCUGGAAACGCUGGUCGAGGGUUGUUGUUCGGGGCUUGACCUACAAGCGGUAGGUUGUUGACUUCAGGCUCGGAGUCAGAUCCAUCCGAAAAGCCUUCUGCGAGGUGAUCAUCCAAAGGGAUUGGAUGCUCAUCUUCGGGCUCUUCAUCGAUCCACCCGGCAUUGCCUUCAUUGGGAAAGUACGGGUCGCCAUGAUGGAAUCCAGCCAUUUAGAUCUACGCGAGAAGAGAGGUAUAAGAAUAUAGUAUACGUGUAACUAGUAGCACAAAAUACACCUAUAGUAUUUUAAGUUUAAGUUCUACUGAUCUUCUUGUGGUAUUGUUGGUAAGUUUUUAGACUUGUUAACAUAUCACAACCAUUCUAGGGCAUAUGCUAAUCACUCCUAGGACCAGCAUAGUUGAUCAGGCUAUGCCAUUCCCAGGACUGACCAUACAUCCCCGAGCUCACUUGUGAUAUUCAACAAUCGUAAUACUUUUGUUCUUGUCAUUGUGACACUGAUUUUAGUAUGAAUGCAGACUAGUAUACUUAAUUAAAUAUUUUAUUAUUUAAAGUAUAGACUCUUGGUCAGAGUGUUUUAGUCCCUUUUGGGUUUAUAGAUUAGUAUAUCUUUUAUGGGUUGAUAUACUUGAUUCACUAUAAACAAUGCUCUGAUACCAAUCUGUCACACCCCAAAACCAAGAACGGCGGAAACGUUCUGGGGCGGAGGACGUCAUGUAUAGUAUCACAACACAGUAAAUGUAAAUAAGCAAACAACAUCAUCCAUUGCAUUAAAUAUAUAAUUUUAAUACAAGUGUGUUCUGUACAGUUAUAGACACCAAAAAUAAUGAAACACAAAAUAAUAUGAGAUGAGUCUUGAAUGCACUCCAUCUUCUCAAAAGCUGGCCUCGGUACCUGUCUACUGAUGACCUGAGAAUACAAGUUAUUUUGAAAGAGUUUAUCAGCAUUAAGCUGGUGAGUUCAUAAGUAUUUUAGUGUCAAUGUUUCUUGUAAAAACGUUUGAACCUGUCUCAAUGUAUAAGUUUGUAAAAAUGUAAGCAAAUGUUUGAAAGUGUUUGUAAAAGUUUGAAUCUCUCAGAAAAUCCUAUAUUUUCUAUAAAAGUAACCUUCUACCAAGGCUAAACUGUUUUGUAAACUUGUCUGUUGUAAAAGUGUGUAAUUACCCAAGUAUAACUAUCAUUUGUUAAAAAUAUAGUUUGUACACUAAUGCUUAAGUGAGAUUAUCACUAAAAUAUGUAAUGGGUAAAUCAUUGUAGUACUGUAGCUUUGUAUAAUAAGACUACUGCUGUACUAAAUACUACUACCUUAAACCGGAUUUAUAUUAAGGUAUAAUGUGAUAAAUUGCACCAUGCUAUCGACUGGUAACAACGACAUAAUGAAUGGUCGUAAAAAAAGAAAUGACGUUUGGCACCCGCAGACCUGCAGGUCCGGCUGUAGCUAGCAGCAAGGUGUAGGAUAGUCAAUCCAGUAUAGAUCUAUACGCAAACUCACGCUCUCCCUCCAAGAGAAUUCUGGCUACAACUCGGGCCAUGACAUUUAAGGCAUGCCCGAUACAGUGGAUCACAAUUAUUACGUAUUUAUGUAUAUGUAUUGUUUCUCGUAUAUCUGUAUAUGUAUUGUUUCUCGUAUAUCUGUAUAUGUAUUGUUUCUAGUAUAUCUGUAUAUGUAUUGUUUCUAGUAUAUCUGUAUAUGUAUUGUUUCUAGUAUAUCUGUAUAUGUAUUGUUUCUAGUAUAUCUGUAUAUGUAUUGUUUCUAGUAUAUCUGUAUAUGUAUUGUUUCUAGUAUAUCUGUAUAUGUAUUGUUUCUAGUAUAUCUGUAUAUGUAUUGUUUCUAGUAUAUCUGUAUAUGUAUUGUUUCUAGUAUAUCUGUAUAUGUUUGAUCCUGCGUUACCCCGAUGGUAACCAGCUAAUGAUGUACUGAUGAGUAUGAAUAUGGAAGUACUUUUAUGUCUAUAUAUGUAUAUAUGAUAUAUAAGUAAUAUUGAAACGACCUUCGGAUGGUCACCCGAAAUCCCACCAGACCACAUCUCAAGGCGCGAAAAGGAAAUAGGGCGGAUGGCCUUCCUAAGUCCUUUAAACAUUAUUUAUACAUCUAUACAUAUAUGGGCAUGCAAUUGAAUAUAUAAAAGCAUAAAUAAGUUUUCAUAAAACAUUUGAAGCAUAAAUAUGAUUUCAAGAGGAGAUCGACUUGAUGUCGAUCUAUAAAACAAUUUGAAGGCAUAAGUUAAUAAAACAGUUUAAGUAUAAGAAGCAUUUGUUUAAAUCACAGUCUAUAAGUAAGUUUGGAUAGUAAAACAGUUUGUAAAACAUUUCAAAGUAAGGCAUUUUGAUAAACAGUUUGAACAGUGGUAAAAAUCGUUGUUUUCCUAGUUAUUAAUCACAUGUGAUUAAAUGCAAUCACAUGUGAUUGAAGCAAUAACUUAUAAGUAUUUGACUUGUAUUCCCCCCCAUAAAGUAUUUAAAACACUUAAAAUCAUUUCAAAGGUUGAUUCAAGGGGUAUGAACUCACUUGUGGUGAGUCGUUUGAAUUGCAGUGUCGGCUACCGUGCUAGGUGGCAAACGGAGACUGGUUUACACGCACGAGCCUAGUUAUCAUAUAAUAAGCAUAUAUAUAACUAAUUAGACAAAUAAUAACUUAAAUAAAUAAGUUAAGACACUUAGAAAACAUUUAAACACUUUUAUGAGUGUUUAGGGUUCAAAUGGUUGCAUCUAAGUUGCUACGGGACAAGGCAAAAGGGUUUGAAACAUCAAAUAGCCUUGUAUAGGAGUUCACCAUCCAACAAACCCCACACCUUGGAGUUUACGGCCGUAAACUCAUAGGUUUAUGGCCGUGAACUCCUCAAAUGGUGUUUUUGGGUGUUUUGUGGUGUUAUCUUGCAUCUAGAACACUUCUAUCUUUAUUGGAAUAAUGUAUGAAGUAGUUUUAAGGCUCUAGAACACUCCAUAAGGGAGUUUACGGCCUAAGGUCCUUCACCUUAGAGUUUACGGCCGUAAACUCUAGGAAAUUAAUUGAUUUGAGGCACUUAAACAUCAAGAAUGGCAUCCAUGAUUUUAUCUAAGGCUAAUGGGGACAAGAGGCACACUUUGGUGCCUUCACUUGGAGUUUACGGCCCAAGUCAUGUUCCUUGGCCGUAAACUCCUUUCAAGGAGUGGUUUAGAUGUGUUCUACUCUCCAUUCUAGUCCCAAGGGUGCAAGGUAAAUUGUCUAAAGGCUUAAGGGUAGCUUGGAAUGAUUUUUGUCCCACAAAAUGGGGUUUACGGCCCAAGAAGAGUUCUGGGCCGUAAACUCACUUUCUUUUGUGUCAUUUGAAGUGUUUAAGACCUUAAGCUAAUUGGGGAAUAAAUCUAGAUGCAAGCCUUAAAGUCCUUAAGUCCAAAAACCACCAUUUAGCCCUUUGAAAUGGAGUUUACGGCCUAAGAGAGUUCUGGGCCGUAAACUCCCAAUCUUGGGUGGUUUUGUGUGUGAUUUCAUGUCCCUAAUGUGUUUACCUAAUGUCCUAAGGCCUUAUUCUAGCAUCAAUGUCGGUUUUGGCCUUGUUUCGGGAGUUUACCGCCCAAGAACACCUUGGGGAGUAAACUCCUAGAUCUCAUGAUUUAGCCACCUAAAUCAUGUUAUUAGCAUUUAAUAUGUAUUCUAACAUUACUAGAAAAGGGUACUCACAAUUUGGGAUCAAAACCCGAAGAUCCGUCAGAGAGAAAAUGGCUUUUCUCUAGUUGGAAUUGUGAAUAAUGAAUAAAUUAACUUUAGAAAACUAUUUAUAGUCCUGGAAUAUUUUGACAGAAAAUAUUUCUCUUCUCAAACUUGGACUGUAACAUUAUGAAACUUGAAAUGCCCAAAUUUCACAAACUCAGGAGUAUCCACUCUCCUGAUAUCUCCUAAAGUGUAAACCCUAAGGUACACAAAUUUGUUCGGAAAAGCUUGAAAAUCACAGAAACUGAACUUGCUUCUAUUGAAUAGAUGAGGUUCAUACAAUGGAAAUUUCGGGUUGUCACAUAUAAGGACAUCUUAGUGCAUUCCUAUGGGUAAGAAGAGGAAUCAUGAAUUGUUGAAAUGGUUAAAGCAAGAAGACGAGUUAUACUUAAUUCCAAAACAAUUCUUAGAUUUAUAUUCCAAGAUUGUAACUUGAGUGACAUAUCUUAAAGAAGGAUUAUAACACUUGUCCAAUGUAAGAGUAAAAUAUGUUCUGCUCUUGUACAUUUGAAAUUGGUAAGUUGUGAUGUUUUGGAGAAAACAGAGACCAACU